Molecule: non-coding RNA, 30 nt
Filed under: Mus musculus (house mouse)
Lineage: Eukaryota; Metazoa; Chordata; Mammalia; Rodentia; Muridae
Source: RNAcentral
ACCAAAUGCGUGCAUGUUCUACCAGUUGGA